GCCAUGACAUCUCCCUUAGCACAUAUUGUGUUCUCUUUCUUUUAGCCCAUGGAAGGCUACAACAACCUCAGCUGACAAAGGACAGAGAGAAAAUGUAUUACAGAAUAAAGUGACAAUGCAGCAAAUAGAACUCACAUGUGAGAGGAAGGACAUACUGCAGCAGGAAGGCAACAGCUCUGUGUGAAGCCUGAGAGGAUGCUGGACUCUUCAGAUUCUGGAUCCCAGAGCAGUCUAACGGAGAGAUGUGGGAGCAGUGUCAGAGGCACAGAUACACAGGCAUCCUGCAAGACCAAGAAAGAGAUGCCGGGCAGCCCUGAGCAGCAGACAGCUGAGGGAAGCCAGGCUAGGGCUUCCUGUAGCUCCCGAGUUAAACUGUAUUUUCAGGAUUGCUGCCUUCUGCCGCAGUGAAAUUCUGAGAAAGUCAAGCUGCAGCCAUGAAAUACUUCAUGUCAUCAGGAAGAUGUCUUCUAUCAGAAUAUCUGAGAAGAGUAAUGCUCAGCAUGUUCAAAUCAUCCUUUUAUUUGACCGUUCAGACAUAACUAUAAAAGACUUAUACUCAGCACUUCCAUCUCAUAUAGCAUCACAUUGGCAUGGUAACAACAGUAAACAGAGUAAUGAUCCUCCUCCUGUGAUCACAGAGCUCUGCCAAAGCCAACGAUUUGAAAUGACCAUAUGCAUUCCAAAUCAGCAGGUUUUUAAAAGACAUAAUAGCAACUAGUGCAGGAUGUCAAAACAUGCUUAGCUACCCUGGCGCAUUCACAAAAAGAGCACAAGCACUUUGUAAUCGAUUUGAGACCACA
Long non-coding RNA from Numida meleagris (helmeted guineafowl), 800 nucleotides. RefSeq lists it as uncharacterized. Lineage: Eukaryota; Metazoa; Chordata; Aves; Galliformes; Numididae. The record is from RefSeq and is a predicted model, not a curated record. The transcript has 3 exons.